Molecule: long non-coding RNA, 1946 nt
Filed under: Equus asinus (donkey)
Lineage: Eukaryota; Metazoa; Chordata; Mammalia; Perissodactyla; Equidae
Description: lncRNA (ENSEASG00005035093.1)
Source: RNAcentral
UAAUCUGAGUAGUUUCUUCUUUCUUUUUUUUUUUAAGUGAUGAUUUCAUAGCUGGCAUUUAAAGAAUGCAACUAUGUCAUUUUGUUUAAAAAGUACUGUGGAUUUUGAAACUGAAUUAAAGAGCUGUGUAGACAUGCCCAGAGAUAAGAUUACAAAUUUGGGAAGCAGACGGCUCAGGAAUUCCCCAGGAUUGUUGUGCAGGGGAGGGGCUGGGAGAAGCUUGAACUAGCUUAACAGGAACCUUGGUGCUCUUUGACCUCGAAGCCAAGGACAGGAACAUAGACAGUGGAAAAGUAAAAUGUCUCCUUUUCCUUCCCUUAAGGAGUUUCAACAUUGAACUUUUAAAAAUAUUUCUAUCACAUUCUAGCAAUAUUUUUUUUUCUUUACCCCACACAUCAUAAGUUGUGUGGAGAAACUAUCUCACCAAACAGUAUUACCGAGGUAACAAAAACUGGCUGAUGUUGAAUUUAGAUUGCUUGAGUUUUCAAGUGGACUUGCCUGCCUUCAUAUGUUACUGUGGUACAGCAUACAGUAUGUCGGCAUUACCUCAAACUCAGGGACCCCACGGGGACGAGAACACCCUCUUCCUGAGACUGAGUUGGAAGUGGAAGGUAGCAAUAGUUUUUGACCAAGUCUCUGGAAGGGAUAGUAUCUGUAUCCAGAGAACGGUUGAGACCAGGAGGAGGGGAUACCCAGGGCCACACUCUGGGGUCCCUAAGACAUUCUCACUGAGUGAGGUGGAGGGCCACUGCCUGAGGCUACUGCAGAUGCCCUUUGGGGACCCUUUGCCUUUGCAGGAACCCUCGGCCGCAGACCCAGGGAAUCCCUCCAAGUGCAGGCAGAGUCUGUCCCUGAUCCCUGCCUGAAGAGUGGCUGUCACUGCUUUGUGUCCUCCAGUGUCAUGGGAAUGUUGUGGCUGAGGCAUCCUGCCUUACUUAGUCUUUGUUCUCCAAAUCUGUCACUGAUUCUAUAUUGUGAUGACAGAUCCCCGAAUUCCCCCAUUGCUCAGCUUCAGGUUUGUUUUGGGGAAAUUCAGUGUCGGCUGCCCAAAUCUUUUGGGUCCUUGUGUGUGAGCCUGUUUAUGUCACUCCCUUCUGAGUUGUGCUCUCACUGCUCUGGCAUACUUGCACGUGCACACGCACGCACACACACACAUGAUAUCUGGCUACGGCUUGUAAAAAUUACAAAGAUAAAUAAUCUGUUUCACUGCUUAAUGAGUUGCAACUAAGGUUGUUUGGGCUCCUGGAUCUAGCUCUCAUGGUUCGGAUUCAUUACAGCAAACUCCCAUUGUUCACCAUAUUGAUUUACAGUAGUGUGACAACAUUAACAAACAUGGCACAACCUGAAUUGUAUAAGGCGAACUAAAGAAGAAAAGUGACAUAUGAAUAUAUUUUGCAAAUGUCACAUUAACUAAAAAACAAAUAUGAAUAAUUUCAUUGUUUAAUUUUUUAAGUGGGCAUUCUCCACUGUUUCCAGACCUCUGUAUGUAUAUUUUUAUCUCUCUCUUUUUUUUUUUUUUUUUUGCCAAAUAAGGUGUUAUUUUGGUCCUCUGUUGGUAGAGGUUUUGUUUAAAUAGAGCCAAUCAGGCCCUAAGUGCAAAAAAGUUCUGUCUUGGUGCUUAUCACUGGUGUGGUUAUUAUUUUUGCUUCCCUAACUUUGCUCUUAGGAGCAUAAAUCUGUUUGUAGCUUUAUGGUAAUGGGAUAUUUCUAGUCACAUACUGUCAAAAGUUUUUUUACAUUGUACAAGUGAAGAUUGCUUUCAGGAUUAAAUGAUUGGAAUUAAUGUAUAUAGAGUAAAGUUUUUGCAAAAUUUAAAAACGAUGUUUCUUGGCGUUCUUUUUAAAUACUCUUUGAAAAAUAUAAUAUAUAAUACAAACUACACAUCAACAGUAGACUUUUACAGCACCAAUAAACUAUUUAAAUAUGGAUCCUUUUUUUUCCUGAAU